CAGCGCCCCGCCCCGCCCUGUGCGACCCUGGCCCAACACGGAUGCUGACCCCUCCCCUUUCCGGCUCAUCCGCUGUUCCGCGGGCGUUCUGGAGUGGAGGUUCGGGCCUCUUCGGACCGUGUAACCGUUCUAACAGCAGGAAGGCAUGGAGCUGCGGGCAGUUGCGAUGGAACCUUACCAGCACAUCAGUCUCUCUUCCCUUCCAUUGCAUCCUGUACCCCUUAGGCCAGGUGAGGGGGGCUGUAUUCUGGGUGG
This 255-nucleotide long non-coding RNA is filed under the name Ursus americanus (American black bear). RNAcentral's name for it is "lncRNA (ENSUAMG00000025040.1)". Lineage: Eukaryota; Metazoa; Chordata; Mammalia; Carnivora; Ursidae. The record is from RNAcentral.